GCCGUCAGGGCAAUAUCGCACUGCCAGAUGACUGUGGGUUUGAAUCGGUGGAUUCACUUGAAAAGGUUGGAUUGCCACAACACCAGGACCAAGGUCGUGGUCGGUGGUCGUUGGCGGUGACGUAAGCGCCGUCAAGGGAUAUCCCAGACAUGGAUGACAAGUCUGGACUGAGUGCUGACCACGGUCUCCGAACGAAGCUGGAAGCUUUAGCCAAGGAGAAAGACUGUGAAGCACUGAGCCCUUGGAUCACUAGCAUUAUCGACCACCUUUACUGGUGUGUCGCGUCCAGCCCUCCUAGAGAUCCGGAGCUGGUACUAGAGAAGUAGCGCUCCGUCAUCAACCACGUUCAAAACAUCCAUGUGUGGGUCACGGAGCAAGGGUCACAGAAUGCCAGCAUCCCCUGGAAGGAAGGAAGUGAGGCUCCCCAAAAGAAGUGGUUGAAAUGUGGUUGUACUUGAAAACAAUGCAUUUCAAGGAAACUGGAGCCCGACCUCAAGCUCGUGAUGACAAUGGAGAGUUAAAGUUCAGGAUUACAUACAAGAAAUAUAGGAAGGGACAACAUGUGCUGACAAAAGCAGCAAGUAACAUGACUUAUGACUAUGUUGGAAGACUGCUGACAGCGGUGUGUAACCAAGCCAGGUAGAGUCGAGAACACAGGGCCACCACGCAACACAUUGUUGUCCCAGCACCCGUAACAA
This is a long non-coding RNA of Haliotis rubra (blacklip abalone), 698 nucleotides long. RefSeq lists it as uncharacterized. The record is from RefSeq and is a predicted model, not a curated record. Lineage: Eukaryota; Metazoa; Mollusca; Gastropoda; Lepetellida; Haliotidae. The transcript has 5 exons.